Molecule: long non-coding RNA, 1902 nt
Organism: Dreissena polymorpha
Lineage: Eukaryota; Metazoa; Mollusca; Bivalvia; Myida; Dreissenidae
Exons: 6
Source: RefSeq, a predicted model, not a curated record
UUGUACUAUGUUUAACCCGACUUGGUUUUCUUUAUUAGAGGUGGAUGAUUCCUAGCUGAAAUAAUUCGCGUUCAGAAUAAAUCUGAGUCUGCCAAAGCAAAAAUCAUCAAAAGACUCUAUGGCGGCAAUUUAUAUUGACUAGAUGAUUCCCAGCGCUUAAAGUUUUCCGGAUAAUUAACUCCCUGGAAAGGGAUUAGCUAGAGAUAACAGUUUAUUUCUGUGAGUCCUAAUGCAAGAGGGGAGCUGGAGACAUCCAUAGUGAAUGCAGAGUCUGACGCAGAGUUCCAUGCGUCUGAUGACUUCACGGAUGAUCAGGACCGCUUUAGGGAGCUCUUCUCACUGCCUGUCUCCGAACAACCCCUCAAAGGAUGGGAAAAUGGAAAGAGAGCAGUUUUAAUCAGCAAAAAUCGCUCCCUUGUCUCAACACUUGCAAAGAAGCGUGGAAAACUCUUCCUCACAAAAUCAUUCCUGUGUUUUGAAAGGGACCAUUCUCCAUCUGUCCGAAACAUUGUGGUUCCUAUAAGAGAUGUUGUAAAAAUCACCAAAAUUAAAGUCAAUGAGCGUUUGCCCGGUAAAGGCAUGUCAAUACAGUUAGACAUCUGUACUGAUGGUACGAGUAGUGUGUUACGGUUUGGCGGUAUUUUAAGACGUGAAGACAUGGUCAAGGACAUAGAACAUUGUAUACAGUCUGCCAAACAGAAUGAGGCACAGUCUGGGGAUAGAGUGAGCCGAAAAACAUCUGAUUGGUCUUCAACUGAUCAUGUGACCAACUUCACGUUUGGUGCUUAUUAUGAAGAUUCUGAAUGAUGUAAGGAAAUGAAAUAAUAUUAUUGUAUGUUUUCAGUUACGUAUCUUGUACUAACAUAAAGAACUUAUUUCAUAUUAAGUACUUGUUUGAUAAGGGAUACAAAAUAUUUUUUGUCAAUCUACAUAACCAAAAUAAAAAAAUGGGAGAUAGAUAUUUGUGCAUUUUUAUAAAGUUAUUUUUAUGAAAAUACUUGCUUGUGUUGUUCUUUCCAUGUAGCUGGUUAUUAUUUUGUUAUAUGUUAAUCAUCAGUGAAUUCCUGUUAUUAUGUUUAAAUGCUCAUUUUACCAUUAGGCAAUUUGAGGCAAUUUGAUGUUGACUUCAAUGCCAUUUCAGCGACUGUGAUUAUGUGUAUGGUGAUUUAUAUUUCACUAAAUUGUUUUUAUUGAUAUGAUGUGUGUACGCAGAUAUUAUUGCUAAUAUCAAUACCAGCUAGUUUAUAUGGGCUGUGCUCUGUGAAAAAGGGGUUUAAUGCAUGUGCAUAAAGUGACAUCCCAGAUUAGCCUGUGCAGUCCGCACAGGCUAAUCAGGGACGACACUCUCCCCCUAAACUUGAUUUUUGCUAAGAAGAUAAUUCCUUGAAAGGAAAGAUAUCAUAAAAGCAGAAAGUGUCCUCCCUGAUAAGCCCGUGCGGACUGCACAGGCUAAUCUGGGACAAUACUUUACGCACACGCAUUAGACCCCUUUUUCACAGAGCACGAUUCAUAUACAUGUUGUUCAUGUUCUACCUCUUCUGCUGAUGCAUCACUAUAUAAACUACAUUAAUAUGAGCCUUGAUCUGGAAAAAUGGGGCUUAAUGCAUGUACGUAAAGUGUCGUCCCAGAUUAGCCUGUGCAGUCCGCACACAUGGAAAAUAGGGACGACACUUUUGGCCUUCACUAUAUUUUUUGUAAGAGCAGACUUUCUUUAAACAAAAAAAAUUGGAAUAGUUGUUAACUGUCAGCCUUGAUUAGCUUGUGUGGACUGCACAGGCUAAAUUGGGAUGACAUUUAACACACCUACAUUUAACCCCCCAAUUUCUGUCAGUCUAUGUAUAUCAAAGGUAUAAAAUUAAUGUUGCCAUUAAAUGAAGUUUGUUAUGAUGAAAUCUGUUGCAA